This is a non-coding RNA of Perca fluviatilis (European perch), 328 nucleotides long. The record is from the annotation of a RefSeq genome assembly. NCBI's taxonomy places the organism in Eukaryota, Metazoa, Chordata, Actinopteri, Perciformes, Percidae.
CAUCAGAUCACCUUCAAUAGCAACCAUGUUCUCUGUAGCUCUGCUGCUGCUGCUGGCUGCUGGCACAUGUGUGAAGUGUGAACAGUUGACCCAGCCAGCCUCUGUGACUGUGCAGCCAGGUCAACGUCUGACCAUCACCUGUCAGGUCUCUUAUUCUCUCAGCAGCUACUACACAGCUUGGAUCAGACAGCCUGCAGGGAAAGGACUGGAGUGGAUUGUAAUAGGAGGUGUUGGAUACAACACAUACUACAAAGAUUCCCUGAAGAACAAGUUCAGUAUCAGCUUGGACUCUUCCAGUGACUCUAAACGGACAGAAUAUGCAGGCUGA